CGGGGAUAAAGCAGGUAGCAAACCAUUUAUGGUACUUGCAACUGAGAUACGUUUAUUUUCAAAUGAACAGUUGUGACCUACCACUGCAAUCUGCGUGGCGUCAUAGCCCUGCCCAUGGCUGGCCGUGGCCUUCUCAAAUUCGAACAAACCAAGAGGGAACCAUGAAGCAAAGUUUAGGAGUUUCAGCUUUAUUAAGAAGCACUUUCUGUAACCCUCUAGCAGUCAUAAACAACAAUGCUCUAUACGCAAGGUAAAUAAAACACAGACUACUCUAGCACAUUUCAUGUUAUAUUUUUUCUUUUAUAUAUAAAUCAUCUUAUCAAAAUUGAAUCUGUUAGCAUCUUCACCAGAGCAGACCGUCUAACAAAAUCAAAGAGCAUAUGUAGUAGUUGCUGCCUCAACUUUCCCACCAAAAGAAUCCUAGCAUCAAGCCGUCCAACCAACAAAUUAAGAUUAGGCGAUUCAUUCUUGCACUACCAACAAAUUGUUCCCAAUUCCCACCAAGAGUAAUGUGAGGAGGAUUCAGAUCGAUUCAAUUGACAAUUGGUACAAAUAGGGGCUAAUGCCUAAUGGGACUCACCUGUAUCAGGAGGGGCGCUCAUCGCAGGCGAGCUGCUGGUGUGCAGCAGCGGUUGCGCCGCGCGAAGCAGCGACGGCGGCGCAGGUCGGAGAGGCGUCGUGGCGUUCGAAGGGUGCUCAGGCGUGAAGCAGCAGCGACGUUGUGGAGCCGGCGGCGCAUUUGGAUGGAGCCGGGAGCCGAUAGAGGGGCAGUAUUUUUUUUUUCUGUGAUUUAAUUGUGGGGGAGAGAAUCAUUAGCGUUGAUUUAUCCGGUGGCAUUCUACGAAGAAUUGUUUGGGUGGUUCCUCGAGCAGUGGCAUUUUGAGGGACCCCUUUCCUUCCCCACCCGCCAUGGCGGCGCCACCGGAGCUCGUCGACGACGCCAUGGAGGAGAUCUUCCUCCGCCUGCCCCCAGCCGAGCCCGCGCACCUCGUCCGCGCCGCCCUCGUCUGCAGGCGGUGGCGGCGCAUCCUCACCGGCGGGGCCUUCGUCCGCCGGUACCGCGCGUUCCACGGGGCGGCCCCUCUGCUCGGCUUCCUCGACAACACGAUCGAUCUCCACGGCGCCAGGGCCCCUCGCUUCUCCCCAACCUCAUCCGCCUCCCCGUUUCACAGGGGUCCGUUCGACUGCAUCUGCUGGGAUGUCCUCGACUGCCGCCACGGCCGCGUCCUCCUCGGCCUCUUCGCCGGGAGGGUCAACCUCGUCGUGUGGGACCCCGUCACCGGCCACCACCAGGCGCUGCCGGACCCCGGUUUGCUCCCGGGGUACUACAGCGCGGCAGUGCUCUGCGGCACCGCGCGCGGCGGCUGCGGCUGCGACAACCUCCACUGCUGCCGCGACGGCGGUGGCCCGUUCCGCGUCGUGCUGGCAGGGAUGGAGUCGAUGGACUACUUCGCACGGGGGGAGGACGCCGGCGUGCGGGCGCGCCUCUACUGCUCGGAGGCCGCUGCCUGGGUCGCCUCGGCACAUCUACCCUCCAAUUCCCAUGUCAUGCGGAAGCCCAGCGCCGUCGUCGGGGACGACGUCUACUUCCAGCUGAUGUCGGCCUACGUGAUUCUGAGGUACGACACGGCCAGGAACCGCCUGUCCACCUUCGACCCUCCGCCGGCGCACGCCGACGAAGGGGGCAUCGUGCUCAUGCCCAUGGACGGAGAGGACGGUGACGGUUCGUCGCAGCUGGGGCUCGCCGGCGUCAGGGGUUCGAGGCUGUGCCUGCGGUCGACGAGUGUCGGCGCAGAGGGAGAGGGGAUUGCAGGAUGGGUGCGGCGCGGGGACAUUGAGCUCAUGACACGGAUCCCGUUUUUGCCCUAUAGCGAAGCCCAGGUGAUUGCUUCUGCAGAGGGAUUGGGUACCAUCUUCUUCUUCGUCUCAACUGAGGUUGGCCUCUUCGCGAUCGACUUCAAGUCAGGGCAGGAGCGCAAGGUGAGCGAGCCUGGCAACUACAACAACUUCACUGUCUUCCCGUUCAUGAGCUUCUACACUCCAGAUUGUAGAAGCGGCAAGUUACCAUCACCCAGGAGGACAGACUAAUCUAUAUAACUGAGACGAAGAAUGGACCUGGCCGAUCUACAUAUGCAUCAAGUUGAGUUUGCUGGUGCUCUCAUCUUUCUAUUGCAGGGUUGAUGUCUUGCAAGUAAUACAAGCCAACAUAUGGUCAGUUAUGCUCCUCUGCUCUCUGCCUGAUCAUGGUCAGGAAUAUAGGCCCAGGUUCAAUGCAAUUAGAAUGUUGGAUGAGCUAGAGAGUCAACAUUAAAGGAUUCACAUGGGAUGGAAAAGAUGUUGAAGAGAUUUUGGCUAGAUAAUAUACAAAAUAUGGGUUCUGAUCUUUUGAUGCUACUAAUCUGUACCUGUGUAAGUGCAUUAAGCCACUUAAUGUGUUUUGGUUGAUUGAAUGACAACCGCGAUUAAAAGAACUAAUGAUUUUGCUAAGUGUGAAAUAGGGAAAAGCUAUCUCACGGGUAUUUGAUACAAGUUUACAAAAGCCAAAAUCAUGUAUUGUUGUAUGAAGCAAUCUAGUUCAAGCACAAAACAGCAAUGCAAAUGGAAUUAUUGAAAAGGCUUAUUUAUUGUGAAGAUCGCUAUCAAUUAUAUGAAAGCAAAAAUGAAAGGUACAAAAUUGAUUGGAUGAUUCAAAGCAACAUAUGACUUGAAGACUUGAGAUGGUGAAGAUAGCAAGGAAAGGCUUCGAGGUACUAAGCAAAGGUGAAGGGCAAGCGACGGCUUGACGGUCGAAAAACCUAGCUCGGGUGAAGAAGGAAUUACUUGCAUUUAGUUGAGGUACUAAGGGUCAUGUUGAUGUGGAGGAUCAAAUCUACUAUUGAAGUAGUUAAUGGAAAUGACUUGGUACAUUUGGAGUCAAAUCUAUCUAUUGAAUGGAACGAAGUCAUGUGCUCAAGAUGGCUAUGCUAAGUUGAAAACAAGUUUGACAUGAUGACACCCUCAGCUUAUCAAGAAUUGAAAGAAAGGCUUUGGUUUCAUGAAAGCUUUUCAAGCGGUUUCAAUUUGAUUUAUGUUUUGAUCUUGAGUUGAUAGGAAAGCCGUACUAUUAAGAGGGAUGCAUCAUGAUCAUAGAUUAAUACUCUCUAGUGCUCAAGUCAACCCAUGUGAGGUCAUAGAGAGACUAACCUGAGAGUUGAACUCAAUGUGCACAGGCCGUGCAUAUCAGACGUGUCCGGUAUGGGUACUGUUGUGCAUACUGACUUUUUGAGAUGUGAUGACCAAGGAGCUGUUCCGGCGCGUGUCAGCACUUCCGGCGCACGUCAGCAAGUGCUGACACGUCGGAAGUUCCGACGUACGUCGGGAGUUCCGACGUAGGCUUCUCCGUGGUAGAGAGUAGCAAGCUAACAGGGGUAAGCCUUUUGGCCUCGACCAUAUCGGACGUGUCCGGUAUGAUACCGGACGUGUCCGGUAUGGCCAACGGCUAGUUAACGGCUAGUUUUCAAAACUGUCUUUAUAUACCCCUCAGCCCUCUUCUUUUGGGGCUGCUGAUUCUACUGGUUUUGGACAUAUUGCUGAGCUUUGCUAACUCUCCCCAACCCUCUCUUUGUGAGUGUUUGAUCUACUUUGACAAAUCCAACUUGUGGGUUGAAAGAUUUUUGAAUUAGAGAGCAAGCCACCACUUGAGCACUUGAGCAUAUUGUCUAUUUCGUGAUUUGCAUUUGUUGCUCUUGGACUCUUCGGUCCUAGACGGUUAGGCGUCGCCGGAGAGCACCGAAGUGUUUGUGGUUGCCUCGGAUUGUUUGUGCAGGUCGGAUUUCGUCUCCGCAAGGGAAGAAAUCAGCUAGUGGAAAGAGAAUUUGGAGUUGAAAGGUGGACCUUUGAGCUAGAGUGACCUUAGUGGUAGCCUCUAGGUCAUCGAGUGCCUUAUCCGUAGCCCCCUCAACGAAGAUUAGGUCUCGACGGAGACUAAACUUCGGUAGAGGAAGAAGUUUCACAGUACAAGGAUUGAAUAUCCUCUGCUCGUGAAUUCCGGACGCGUCCGAGAUCAAGCCGAACGUGUCUGAUUUGGGACAGCACAGCACUUCAUAUAUAAAUUGUUUGAUCUGUGUUGGAUACUAGUUUGCAGGGUGUUGUAUAUUUAUAUUUCUCCAUAUAAGCUGUAUACAGGUUUAGGAGAAGCUGGAGAACAGAAACAACUAAGUGUCGUGUGCUCGUGAAUUUUGGACGUGUCCGUGUUGGUACCGGACGCGUCCGGUAUUUGCGAGUUGUCAAGAAUAUUUCUUUCUACGAUCUAAUCUCAGUGGUGCAGGUGUUAGAAUUAUUUAAUAUUGUUUACAACUGUUUCUCUGAUUAUCUUUGUGUGGAGUUUUUCAUUUACGUGGAAAACUCCAGUUCUAAUCGUUUUCGCAUUUUAAGUUGCAAAUUUCCAAAAACGCCUAUUCACCCCCCCUCUAGGUGCAUCCUUGGUCCUUUCAACCUGGGCAAGCAAGUCAAGAAUACCGGCAUCCACUCGAACGAAAAUUAUUUACUUACAUCGUCCAUUUCAUUCAACACAAUGAGUGAUAACACCUUUGUGAUUUGUACUCAGGUGUGUUGUAUAUGCUUGAGAAUGUGAGUUUUUU
Molecule: RNA transcript, 4619 nt
Organism: Sorghum bicolor (sorghum)
Lineage: Eukaryota; Viridiplantae; Streptophyta; Magnoliopsida; Poales; Poaceae
Exons: 4
Source: RefSeq, a predicted model, not a curated record